Molecule: ribosomal RNA, 152 nt
Filed under: Paratricoma sp. OB_08_42
Lineage: Eukaryota; Metazoa; Nematoda; Chromadorea; Desmoscolecida; Desmoscolecidae
Description: partial 18S ribosomal RNA
Source: RNAcentral
UUACCCGCAUAUUUCCCCUUUUUUUUUUUCCCCCCUGAUUCCAUAAUCCCCCGCCGGAGUUUCAUCAAUCCCCCUAUCCACUUUGGGGUAGGAUCAGGCCCGUGGACGGGACAAAUGAUUAGGGCUCCACGGAGAGGGAGCCUACGGCCACC